AAGAUACUAGUAAAAUGAUAUUACAUUGCCUUGUCGAGGCAGAAUCGGAGGUUUAAACCCUCCGUAUCUUA
Molecule: transfer RNA, 71 nt
Filed under: Macropodus opercularis (paradise fish)
Lineage: Eukaryota; Metazoa; Chordata; Actinopteri; Anabantiformes; Osphronemidae
Also listed under: 1 other name
Description: tRNA-Asp
Rfam family: tRNA
About the family: Transfer RNA (tRNA) molecules are approximately 80 nucleotides in length. Their secondary structure includes four short double-helical elements and three loops (D, anti-codon, and T loops).
Source: RNAcentral